Molecule: ribosomal RNA, 433 nt
Filed under: uncultured bacterium
Lineage: Bacteria
Description: partial 16S ribosomal RNA
Rfam family: Bacterial small subunit ribosomal RNA
Source: RNAcentral
AACGAACGCUGGCGGCAUGCCUAACACAUGCAAGUCGAACGAGACCUUCGGGUCUAUUGGCGCACGGGUGCGUAACGCGUGGGAACCUGCCCUUAGGUUCGGAAUAACUCCCCGAAAGGGGUGCUAAUACCGGAUAAUUUCUUCGGACCAAAGAUUUAUCGCCUUUGGAUGGGCCCGCGUUGGAUUAGCUAGUUGGUAGGGUAAAAGCCUACCAAGGCGACGAUCCAUAGCUGGUCUGAGAGGAUGAUCAGCCACACUGGGACUGAGACACGGCCCAGACUCCUGCGGGAGGCAGGAGUGGGGAAUAUUGGAAAGUGGGCGAAAGCAUGAUCCAGCAAGGCGGCGUGAGUGAUGAAGGCCUUAGGGUUGUAAAGCUCUUUUACCCGGGAUGAUAAUGACAGUACCGGGAGAAUAAGCUCCGGCUAACUCCGUG